CAUGUAGGCGGUCUGUUAAGUCUGGUGUGAAAGCCCGGGGCUCAACCCCGGAAGUGCAUUGGAUACUGGCAGACUUGAGUAUGGGAGAGGAAGGCGGAAUUCCGAGUGUAGGAGUGAAAUCCGUAGAUAUUCGGAGGAACACCAGUGGCGAAGGCGGCCUUCUGGACCAAUACUGACGCUGAGAUGCGAAAGCGUGGGGAGCGAACAGGAUUAGAUACCCUGGUAGUCC
This 229-nucleotide ribosomal RNA is filed under the name uncultured bacterium. RNAcentral describes it as "partial 16S ribosomal RNA". It matches the Rfam family "Bacterial small subunit ribosomal RNA", at positions 568 to 796 of the family's 1533-position model. The record is from RNAcentral.